ACUGAUCACAUAGACCCGCAGCACUCAGCCAGGCCCCUCACCCCGGCUCUGCUCUCAAGCCGGGCUUGGCUCCCCGCCUGCCCAAAUGCGUUCAACAUCCCCCGAAAGGCCAUUUCCCUUCCAGUCUUCCCGGAGAGAUGUCAGGGUGACGAGGGAGCUUAUCUUUCGGUGGCUCCGAAACAGCCACGAAGCCGAGCUCUACCAGUAACAAAAAUGGCGUCAUUCCGCCAGCGCCAGGACCUCUGUCGCUGGCCGUGGUCUCGCACUGCUUCUGGAGGCUCCCAUUCCAGCCAGAGGAGAGGUGCGUUUGGGGGCCCGGGGGAGUCCUCGUGAUAUCUCCGAGUUUGGGUAUUCGGAAUUGAUCCUACGAAAGCAGUGUGAGGCUUGGAAGGGCCGCGACUUGUCCGGACCUAACACCCUACAUGACUGCAUGGGAGAUACGGCCUAUAAGAAGAUGAUUAAGGUUAAUGAUGUCAGAAGGUGGAACCCUGAUUGGAGACAAGUGUAAGAGACCCAAGAGAUUCUCUCUCCGCCAUGUGAUGACACAGCAUGA
This 553-nucleotide long non-coding RNA is filed under the name Homo sapiens (human). Its description in RNAcentral is "non-protein coding lnc-SPACA5B-3:2". The record is from RNAcentral. Lineage: Eukaryota; Metazoa; Chordata; Mammalia; Primates; Hominidae.